UACAGAGGUCCCAAGCGUUGUUCGGAUUCACUGGGCGUAAAGGGCGCGUAGGCGGGAUGGCAAGUCAGUCGUGAAAUCUCUCGGCUCAACCGAGAAACGUCGGCUGAUACUGCCGUUCUUGAGGGAUGCAGAGGAGACUGGAAUUCCCGGUGUAGCGGUGAAAUGUGUAGAGAUCGGGAGGAACACCGGUGGCGAAGGCGGGUCUCUGGGCAUUUCCUGACGCUGAGGCGCGAAAGCGUGGGGAGCAAACGGG
Molecule: ribosomal RNA, 253 nt
Filed under: uncultured bacterium
Lineage: Bacteria
Description: partial 16S ribosomal RNA
Rfam family: Bacterial small subunit ribosomal RNA
Source: RNAcentral